This 460-nucleotide ribosomal RNA is filed under the name uncultured bacterium. RNAcentral describes it as "partial 16S ribosomal RNA". It matches the Rfam family "Bacterial small subunit ribosomal RNA", at positions 338 to 795 of the family's 1533-position model. The record is from RNAcentral.
CCUACGGGGAGCAGCAGUGAGGAAUAUUGGUCAAUGGACGAGAGUCUGAACCAGCCAAGUAGCGUGAAGGAUGACUGCCCUAUGGGUUGUAAACUUCUUUUAUAUGGGAAUAAAACGUUCCACGUGUGGGAUUUUGUAUGUACCAUAUGAAUAAGGAUCGGCUAACUCCGUGCCAGCAGCCGCGGUAAUACGGAGGAUCCGAGCGUUAUCCGGAUUUAUUGGGUUUAAAGGGGGCGUAGGUGGAUUGUUAAGUCAGUUGUGAAAGUUUGCGGCUCAACCGUAAAAUUGCAGUUGAAACUGGCAGUCUUGAGUACAGUAGAGGUGGGCGGAAUUCGUGGUGUAGCGGUGAAAUGCUUAGAUAUCACGAAGAACUCCGAUUGCGAAGGCAGUUCACUGGACUGCAACUGACACUGAGGCUCGAAAGUGUGGGUAUCAAACAGGAUUAGAUACCCUAGUAGUC